CAGAUUCAUGUCCUGCUUAUGAUGUGGACCCCAGAGCCCGGACACAGAACGCCAGAACUGGUAUGCUACGAGAUACGAUGAUGCGCUCACACUUAAAUGGACCCCAGUGUCUAAGGUAAGAAGG
Molecule: non-coding RNA, 124 nt
Organism: Cyanistes caeruleus (blue tit)
Lineage: Eukaryota; Metazoa; Chordata; Aves; Passeriformes; Paridae
Source: RefSeq, a predicted model, not a curated record